GCCCAGACUCCUACGGGAGGCAGCAGUGGGGAAUAUUGCACAAUGGGCGAAAGCCUGAUGCAGCGACGCCGCGUGAGUGAAGAAGUAUUUCGGUAUGUAAAGCUCUGUCAGCAGGGAAGAAAGCAAUGACGGUACCUGACCAAGAAGCCCCGGCUAACUACGUGCCAGCAGCCGCGGUAAUACGUAGGGGGCAAGCGUUAUCCGGAAUUACUGGGUGUAAAGGGAGCGUAGACGGCUGUGCAAGUCUGGAGUGAAAGGCGGGGGCCCAACCCCCGGACUGCUCUGGAAACUGUAUGGCUGGAGUGCAGGAGAGGUAAGCGGAGUUCCUAGUGUAGCGGUGAAAUGCGUAGAUAUUAGGAGGAACACCAGUGGCGAAGGCGGCUUACUGGACUGUAACUGACGUUGAGGCUCGAAAGCGUGGGGAGCAAACAGGAUUAGAUACCCGUGUACC
RNAcentral lists this ribosomal RNA (451 nucleotides) under uncultured bacterium. Its description in RNAcentral is "bacterial SSU rRNA". It matches the Rfam family "Bacterial small subunit ribosomal RNA", at positions 329 to 794 of the family's 1533-position model. The record is from RNAcentral.